This is a long non-coding RNA of Girardinichthys multiradiatus, 791 nucleotides long. RefSeq lists it as uncharacterized. Lineage: Eukaryota; Metazoa; Chordata; Actinopteri; Cyprinodontiformes; Goodeidae. The record is from RefSeq and is a predicted model, not a curated record. The transcript has 2 exons.
UGUCGCCGUCGUACGGCAGGGUCUUGUCCCACAGAGUCGGACCGAGGAAAGCAGACUGUGGGUGGCUGGCUGCGCUGCUCUCAUCGUCCAGCUUCUUCUCCUUCUCCUUCCCAAACCCUGAAAAGAAGCACACACAUGGCUUCACUCCAGAAGCUCUGGAAACCCGACGUGGACAAAGAACGUUCUAAACGACAAACACAGCUGCACGGUUUAUCAGCUCUGAAUCAUCAUCACAAUAUCAAAGAACUGCUUGGUACCAGCUUAUGGUACCAGCGCCAUGCAUGUAAAUUCUGCCUGUAGUACAUGCAGCCUGUUGGACGUUCACUGCCAGGAGCUAAGGUGUUCAGCAGGUGUUCAGCAGCAGCGUUACGAUGACUUCCUGAUGAUGAGAAACCAGCCAGCAGAUGUGCAGAGAAAGGUUUAUUCAAGGUUCCUACAUAUUUUUAUUUCAAAAUUCCAAAGUUGAAUUUUUUAAGCAGUUUUUUGAUGGUGUUUGUGCAGCAGAUGGGUUUUAUUAUCCUUAUGUUUCACAGAAAAGGUUGGGUCCAAUUGAUCAAUGUAAUAAAGGGUUGUUUUGCUCGGUUUUUUGCCAUCUAGACUAAUUUAAAUCAAUAAGAUAUUUAACCUUUGACCUGUACGGUCAGGACUGAAUUAUCCUGCAUUAAAUAUUUAUUCUUUAAACUUUGACAUCAUUAUUCUGUUUGUAUAAAUUUGAAAAAAGACAGUCUUAGUGCAUUUUGUAUUGAAAUCAUUAUAAAGUAGUUUUGACAUCAAUAAAGCUGUAAAUGAUC